AACGCACCUUGCGCUACUUGGUAUUCCGAGGAGCAUGCCUGUUUGAGUGUCAUGGAAUUCUCAACUCUAUUUGCUUUUGUGAAUAGAGCUUGGACUUGGAGGUUUAUUGCCGGUACCUGUGAUCGGCUCCUCUUGAAUGCAUUAGCUCGAACCUUUUGUGGAUCGGCUACUCGGUGUGAUAAUUGUCUACGCCGUGUGCUGUGAAGCUUUCAAACACUUUGUCGUGUUGAGGGAUUUGCUUCUAAUCGUCCUCCAAUGGACAAUUUUUGACCUCUGACCUCAAAUCAGGUAGGAUUACCCGCUGAACUUAA
This 311-nucleotide ribosomal RNA is filed under the name uncultured fungus. Its description in RNAcentral is "eukaryotic LSU rRNA". Lineage: Eukaryota; Fungi. The record is from RNAcentral.